RNAcentral lists this long non-coding RNA (450 nucleotides) under Heterocephalus glaber (naked mole-rat). RNAcentral's name for it is "lncRNA (ENSHGLG00000043907.1)". Lineage: Eukaryota; Metazoa; Chordata; Mammalia; Rodentia; Bathyergidae. The record is from RNAcentral.
GCUCCGCUGAGCCAAAGGGCCGCCCACAGGACAAUGGUCCCGUUGGCGCGUCCAGACAAAUGGGCCUUGUUGGGCUGACGGCGGGGGCGAGUUUGUGUGCCCCUGCUCGCUGAAUGCGGCUUCUGUGCCUCUGGGCGGGCGUGCAGGAGCCAGGACUAGGCGGGAGGGGACCAGGGCCUGGAGCGCCCAUUGGCCGAAGCGCAGGGGGUUGGGCUGGGCUGCUGACCGCACCUGGCCGGGAGCGAGAGCCUGCAAGGAGGCCGCUGUGGCGGCGGCAGAGGGGCAGGAACAUGGACCAAGCCUGGAGGACCGCGGAGGCCCGGCGGGUGCACCCCGCCGCCCAGUGAGUGAGCGAGCGCCCGGGCGGCACGCCCACCCCGAGCCAGCCACGCUGAGCCCGCGGAGAACCAGGCCAAGGACCCCAGAGGACAUAGCACCCUGCUCCCCGGC